This 253-nucleotide ribosomal RNA is filed under the name uncultured bacterium. RNAcentral describes it as "partial 16S ribosomal RNA". It matches the Rfam family "Bacterial small subunit ribosomal RNA", at positions 524 to 776 of the family's 1533-position model. The record is from RNAcentral.
UACAGAGGGUGCAAGCGUUAAUCGGAAUUACUGGGCGUAAAGCGUGCGUAGACGGUUACAUAAGUCGGGUGUGAAAGCCCCGGGCUCAACCUGGGAAUAGCAUUCGAGACUGUGUAGCUAGGAUGCGGAAGAGGGAAGCGGAAUUUCCGGUGUAGCGGUGAAAUGCGUAGAUAUCGGAAGGAACACCAGUGGCGAAAGCGGCUUCCUGGUCCAGCAUCGACGUUCAGGCACGAAAGCGUGGGGAGCAAACAGG